GUGCCAGCCGCCGCGGUAAUACGUAGGGUGCUAGCGUUAUCCGGAAUCACUGGGCGUAAAGCGUGCGUAGGCGGCUUGUUAAGUGAGAUGUUAAAACGUGGGGCUCAACCCUGUCGGUGCAUCUCAUACUGGCAGGCUAGAGGAAGGCAGAGGCAAGUGGAAUUUGUAGUGUAGCAGUGAAAUGCGUAGAUAUUACAAGGAACACUAAUGGCGAAGGCAGCUUGCUGGGCCUUUUCUGACGCUGAGGUACGAAAGCGUGGGGAGCGAACAGGAUUAGAAACCCUCGUAGUCC
This 292-nucleotide ribosomal RNA is filed under the name uncultured bacterium. Its description in RNAcentral is "partial 16S ribosomal RNA". It matches the Rfam family "Bacterial small subunit ribosomal RNA", at positions 505 to 796 of the family's 1533-position model. The record is from RNAcentral.